Molecule: small nuclear RNA, 107 nt
Filed under: Zalophus californianus (California sea lion)
Lineage: Eukaryota; Metazoa; Chordata; Mammalia; Carnivora; Otariidae
Source: RNAcentral
GUGCUCACUUUGGUAGCACAUAUACUAAAACUGGAAGGAUACAGAGAUGAUUAGCAUGGCUCCUGUGCAAGAAUGGCAUGUAAAUUUGUGAAGCAUUCCACAUUUUU